This is a long non-coding RNA of Rhipicephalus microplus (southern cattle tick), 332 nucleotides long. RefSeq lists it as uncharacterized. Lineage: Eukaryota; Metazoa; Arthropoda; Arachnida; Ixodida; Ixodidae. The record is from RefSeq and is a predicted model, not a curated record.
UAUACUUCUUUUUCCUGCAGUACCAAAACGAGAUCCCUACAAUAGUAGUUCGGCUAGAUUUUUCGUGUCGGCAAGUACAAUGCGACCGCCGCUGCACAGGCAAAGUGCUAUCAUCAAUGACACAGCUGUGUACAAGCGUGGAUACGGAAAUAGGCCAACUAUUUCUCAUGGUCCGACUAAGAAAACGUCUGUUCAAGGAGCUGCCGGGAUGUCUGGAAGAAAGCGAAGCCGUUCACCCUAUGGAAGCCCUGGCAGGAUUGGCAUGAGACUUUAAAGUUUGUGUUCACUGUCGAUCUGAAAAUGUUGCAACACAGGUAAUAAAUGGCGUUUCA